GCGUUGUCCGGAAUCAUUGGGCGUAAAGAGCGCGUAGGCGGCCCUGUAAGUCCGCUGUGAAAGUCAAGGGCUCAACCCUUGAAUGCCGGUGGAUACUGCAGGGCUAGAGUCCGGAAGAGGCGAGUGGAAUUCCUGGUGUAGCGGUGAAAUGCGCAGAUAUCAGGAGGAACACCGAUGGCGAAGGCAGCUCGCUGGGACGGUACUGACGCUGAGGCGCGAAAGCGUGGGGAGCAAACAGG
Molecule: ribosomal RNA, 239 nt
Filed under: uncultured bacterium
Lineage: Bacteria
Description: partial 16S ribosomal RNA
Rfam family: Bacterial small subunit ribosomal RNA
Source: RNAcentral